Molecule: ribosomal RNA, 781 nt
Filed under: Flavimobilis marinus
Lineage: Bacteria; Bacillati; Actinomycetota; Actinomycetes; Micrococcales; Jonesiaceae
Description: bacterial SSU rRNA
Rfam family: Bacterial small subunit ribosomal RNA
Source: RNAcentral
ACAUGCAAGUCGAACGGUGACGGCAGAGCUUGCUCUGCUUGAUCAGUGGCGAACGGGUGAGUAACACGUGAGUAACCUGCCCCUCACUCUGGGAUAACAUCGGGAAACCGGUGCUAAUACUGGAUACGAGAUGCCUCCGCAUGGGGAGUGUCUGGAAAGAUUUAUUGGUGGGGGAUGGACUCGCGGCCUAUCAGCUUGUUGGUGGGGUAAUGGCCCACCAAGGCGACGACGGGUAGCCGGCCUGAGAGGGCGACCGGCCACACUGGGACUGAGACACGGCCCAGACUCCUACGGGAGGCAGCAGUGGGGAAUAUUGCACAAUGGGCGAAAGCCUGAUGCAGCGACGCCGCGUGGGGGAUGAAGGCCUUCGGGUUGUAAACCCCUUUCAGCAGGGAAGAAGCGAAAGUGACGGUACCUGCAGAAGAAGCGCCGGCUAACUACGUGCCAGCAGCCGCGGUAAUACGUAGGGCGCAAGCGUUGUCCGGAAUUAUUGGGCGUAAAGAGCUCGUAGGCGGUUUGUCGCGUCUGGUGUGAAAACUCAAGGCUCAACCUUGAGCUUGCAUCGGGUACGGGCAGACUAGAGUGCGGUAGGGGUGACUGGAAUUCCUGGUGUAGCGGUGGAAUGCGCAGAUAUCAGGAGGAACACCGAUGGCGAAGGCAGGUCACUGGGCCGCAACUGACGCUGAGGAGCGAAAGCAUGGGGAGCGAACAGGAUUAGAUACCCUGGUAGUCCAUGCCGUAAACGUUGGGCACUAGGUGUGGGGCUCAUUCCACGAGUUCC